AGCAACAGCAGGUUUGAGCGUCGCAUCACGAGACUGAGAAAGCAUCAUGAUGAGUGUGCCAGGAGACAUACAGCUAGACAGAAGGCAAAAGAAACAUCAAGUGUUUGUCUCAGCAUGCCCUCCCAGGCCCCAGAUGAUCAGGUUCCUUCUCCCCUCAAGCAGGACAUACUUAACUUACAACAGAUGUGUGAAACAGGAUCCUUGGCGGAUUCAAAGGAAAAUCCAGACAGUUGUGUGUCUUCAGAUGUUCCCAAGCUCCUAGCCAAACAAUCACUGUUUACAAAGAAAUCAGUGG
This is a long non-coding RNA of Carassius carassius (crucian carp), 295 nucleotides long. RefSeq lists it as uncharacterized. The record is from RefSeq and is a predicted model, not a curated record. Lineage: Eukaryota; Metazoa; Chordata; Actinopteri; Cypriniformes; Cyprinidae. The transcript has 3 exons.